ACGCCGGCGGCGAGCUUAACACAUGCAAGUUGGACGAUAAAGGCUGAAUUGGUUUGGCCGAGUAAAGUAGCGCACGGGUGAGUAACGCGUAGGCAACCUACCCUUGUAUUGGGGAUAACCCCGCGAAAGCGGGGCUAAUACCGGAUACGAUCCCACGAUGGUGGUUGUGGGAUGAAAGUCAGCCAUUCGGAGAAGCUGACUUUCGAGGAUGGGCCUGCGUCCUAUCAGCUAGUUGGUGGGGUAGCGGCCUACCAAGGCGACGACGGGUAGCUGGUCUGAGAGGAUGAUCACCCACACUGGCACUGGAACACGGGCCAGACUCCUACGGGAGGCAGCAGUGAGGAAUUUUGCGCAAUGGCCACAAGGCUGACGCAGCAACGCCGCGUGGGUGAUGAAGGCCUUCGGGUCGUAAAGCCCUGUCAGGUGGGAAGAAAGGCUUGAUUGGGAAUACCGGUUGAGUUUGACGGUACCACCAGAGGAUGCACCGGCUAACUCCGUGCGA
RNAcentral lists this ribosomal RNA (502 nucleotides) under uncultured Syntrophobacter sp. Its description in RNAcentral is "bacterial SSU rRNA". It matches the Rfam family "Bacterial small subunit ribosomal RNA", at positions 33 to 510 of the family's 1533-position model. The record is from RNAcentral. Lineage: Bacteria; Pseudomonadati; Thermodesulfobacteriota; Syntrophobacteria; Syntrophobacterales; Syntrophobacteraceae.